This 325-nucleotide ribosomal RNA is filed under the name Pholcus sp. BB-2004. Its description in RNAcentral is "partial 12S ribosomal RNA". Lineage: Eukaryota; Metazoa; Arthropoda; Arachnida; Araneae; Pholcidae. The record is from RNAcentral.
UUAACUCUAUAGGUAGUAUUAAACCAUUAUGUACUGGCGGUCUUAUAAAUUUAGAGAAACUCGCUUUAUAAUCGAAAAUACCCGAUAAUUUUCACUUAAUCUCAAAGUCUAUAUACCGCCGUUCAGAGUAGAACUAAAAUUCUUACUCCAUAAAGCCAUUAUCCCCAAAAUCAGGUCARGGUGUAGCUAAUGAUUAAGAAAAAGUAAGUUACAUUAAAAAUAAUUUAAGAACAAAUCAAUCAAAACUAUUUARAAAAAGAAUUUAUCUGUACAUUCUAAUUAAAAUUUAGAAUAGAACCAAAAAUAAAAGAUGCACACAUCGCGG